UGCAUGCUGGGGAUUGAGCAUAGGAC
This 26-nucleotide non-coding RNA is filed under the name Mus musculus (house mouse). The record is from RNAcentral. Lineage: Eukaryota; Metazoa; Chordata; Mammalia; Rodentia; Muridae.